ACCACUUCAGCGGUCAGGUUGGCAGUGUCCCGAGUGCAAGGUGUGCCAGACCUGCAGGCAACCAGGGGAGGAUUCAAAGAUGCUGGUUUGCGAUGCUUGUGACAAGGGCUACCACACCUUCUGUCUACUGCCGGCCAUGGACUCUGUGCCCCCUGAUUCAUGGAAGUGCAAACGGUGCCGUGUGUGUAUUGACUGUGGCAUGCGAGGGCUAAAGCUUCCUGGCUCUGACCAGUGGUUUGAGAGCUACACAGUAUGCGAGGGCUGUCAGCGCAGGCGCACCUCUGUCUGCGGUGUGUGCAGUAAGGCCACGGAGCCCUCGGUCUCCCUGCAACAUCGCUGUGCCAUCUGCCACAGAUGGGUACACAGUGAUUGUGCCUCUCUGUCAGGGCCUCCUGAGGAGAAAUGCAUCUGUGUGCUCUGCAAAGAAAUGCCAGAUGAGGUUCCAAUCGAGUCUGAAGUGUCAUCCACACAAGUAGAUGAGAAAGCUGAUUUGGAGGUGCCAAUGGAAUUGGGGACAGAGCUUGAGGUGGUUGGAACAGCAGAAGUGAAAGAAAGCAUUAUGGAGGAGGAACUACAGCAAGAAGGCGCUGAGGGCUCCACAGAGACUAAUGUGCACAGUGAGGUCUCUACAGAGCAGCAGGCCCCUUUAGCUACAGUUUCAGAAGCUGAUGAAAAACAAAAAGAGGAGACGACUACCAUUGAAACAGUGGCUACAGAGGCCAUUGAGGAAAAAUCAGUGGACACUCAGGACCCUCCUGUGAAGGAUAGUCCAGACAGCCCUGUUCCGGACACUAGAGAGGAAGCCCAACUUGAUGUAGCUGAAACUCACAUAGAAAAGCAGGAGGAGUUGCAAGGGCAAGACAGUACUCCUCAGACAGAGA
RNAcentral lists this long non-coding RNA (881 nucleotides) under Sinocyclocheilus anshuiensis. Its description in RNAcentral is "lncRNA (ENSSANG00000015963.1)". The record is from RNAcentral. Lineage: Eukaryota; Metazoa; Chordata; Actinopteri; Cypriniformes; Cyprinidae.